AACCUAGGUUGUUAUAGAGACGGUGGAAGGAGGUAGUGGAAGAAAGCUCAAAGCCCUCUCACUUGCUCACCAAAAAGAUACAAAAGAGAGGUUUAGAGGAGGGAGAAGGCUGAAGGGCUAUCAGAUUGUUGUGGCAUGGCAAGUACUGGUGGUGGGGUUUGGCAAGGAAGAGGGGCGGACUAAAGAAGAGAGAGAGGGGGAUGGGAGGCGUCGAUGUUGGAGGAU
This 225-nucleotide long non-coding RNA is filed under the name Elaeis guineensis (African oil palm). RNAcentral's name for it is "long non-coding RNA (EGUI_LNC078488)". The record is from RNAcentral. Lineage: Eukaryota; Viridiplantae; Streptophyta; Magnoliopsida; Arecales; Arecaceae.